AGUGAACGCUGGCGGUAGGCCUAACACAUGCAAGUCGAACGGCAGCACAGUAAGAGCUUGCUCUUACGGGUGGCGAGUGGCGGACGGGUUAGGAAUACAUCGGAAUCUACUUUUUCGUUGGGGAUAACGUAGGGAAACUUACGCUAAUACCGCAUACGACCUACGGGUGAAAGCCGGGGAUCUUCGGACCUUGCGCGAUUGAAUGAGCCGAUGUCGGAUUAGCUAGUUGGCGGGGUAAAGGCCCACCAAGGCGACGAUCCGUAGCUGGUCUGAGAGGAUGAUCAGCCACACUGGAACUGAGACACGGUCCAGACUCCUACGGGAGGCAGCAGUGGGGAAUAUUGGACAAUGGGCGCAAGCCUGAUCCAGCCAUACCGCGUGGGUGAAGAAGGCCUUCGGGUUGUAAAGCCCUUUUGUUGGGAAAGAAAAGCAGCAGGUUAAUACCCCGCUGUUCUGACGGUACCGAAAGAAUAAGCACCGGCUAACUUCGUG
RNAcentral lists this ribosomal RNA (492 nucleotides) under uncultured bacterium. RNAcentral describes it as "partial 16S ribosomal RNA". It matches the Rfam family "Bacterial small subunit ribosomal RNA", at positions 29 to 507 of the family's 1533-position model. The record is from RNAcentral.